RNAcentral lists this ribosomal RNA (235 nucleotides) under uncultured bacterium. RNAcentral's name for it is "partial 16S ribosomal RNA". It matches the Rfam family "Bacterial small subunit ribosomal RNA", at positions 96 to 334 of the family's 1533-position model. The record is from RNAcentral.
UGGCGGGAGGGUGAGUAAUGUCUGGGAAACUGCCUGAUGGAGGGGGAUAACUACUGGAAACGGUAGCUAAUACCGCAUAACGUCGCAAGACCAAAGAGGGGGACCUUCGGGCCUCUUGCCAUCGGAUGUGCCCAGAUGGGAUUAGCUAGUAGGUGGGGUAACGGCUCACCUAGGCGACGAUCCCUAGCUGGUCUGAGAGGAUGACCAGCCACAUUGGAACUGAGACACGGUCCAG